GAUGAACGCUGGCGGCGUGCUUAACACAUGCAAGUCGAACGAUUGAAGCUGGAGCUUGCUCCGGCCGAUUUAGUGGCGGACGGGUGAGUAACGCGUGGGUAACCUGCCUCAUACAGGGGGAUAGCAGUUGGAAACGACUGGUAAAACCGCAUAAGCGCACGGUGUCGCAUGACACAGUGUGAAAACACUCCGGUGGUAUGAGAUGGACCCGCGUCUGAUUAGCUAGUUGGUGAGGUAACGGCCCACCAAGGCGACGAUCAGUAGACCGGCCUGACGAGGGUGAACGGCCACAUUGGGACUGAGACACGGCCAAACUCCUACGGGAGGCA
Molecule: ribosomal RNA, 329 nt
Filed under: uncultured bacterium
Lineage: Bacteria
Description: bacterial SSU rRNA
Rfam family: Bacterial small subunit ribosomal RNA
Source: RNAcentral